This 301-nucleotide ribosomal RNA is filed under the name uncultured bacterium. RNAcentral's name for it is "partial 16S ribosomal RNA". It matches the Rfam family "Archaeal small subunit ribosomal RNA", at positions 459 to 760 of the family's 1478-position model. The record is from RNAcentral.
CAGUAGCCGCGGUAAUACCAGCACCUCGAGUGGUCAGGAGGUUUAUUGGGCCUAAAGCAUCCGUAGCCGGUUGCAUAAGUUUUCGGUUAAAUCUAUGCGCUUAACGUAUAGGCCGCCGAAAAUACUGUGCAGCUAGGGAGUGGGAGAGGUACACGGUACUCGAUAGGAAGGGGUAAAAUCCUUUGAUCUAUUGAUGACCACCUGUGGCGAAGGCGGUGUACCAGAACGCGUUCGACGGUGAGGGAUGAAAGCUGGGGGAGCAAACCGGAUUAGAUACCCCGGUAGUCCCUGUCUCUUAUAC